AGGAUCUAUGGCUUAGUGGAACACUGUCUCCUUUGUGUGCAGAAGGUCCCAGGUUCAAUCCUUGGCAAUCCUA
RNAcentral lists this transfer RNA (73 nucleotides) under Sphaerodactylus townsendi. RNAcentral's name for it is "tRNA-Thr". The record is from RNAcentral. Lineage: Eukaryota; Metazoa; Chordata; Lepidosauria; Squamata; Sphaerodactylidae.